The sequence is a non-coding RNA, 184 nucleotides long. It matches the Rfam family "6S / SsrS RNA". Rfam says of the family: E. coli 6S RNA was the first non coding RNA to be sequenced, but its function was unknown until recently. The record is from Rfam.
AGAGUCCUGAAGUGUACGUUUACUUCCAUAAUAAUUUGAGCCAACACUUUUACAACGGGAGCUUGAUUCUUUCCAUCCAGAGUACAUGCCUCGGUAGCUGAGGACGUACGAAGGACGGAAUAGGGCACCCACCUGCCAAUGCAGGUUCAACAAUUAUGGAAAGGACGGCACAGUUGGGGCUCUU